Long non-coding RNA from Acanthochromis polyacanthus (spiny chromis), 2159 nucleotides. RefSeq lists it as uncharacterized. The record is from RefSeq and is a predicted model, not a curated record. The transcript has 3 exons. Lineage: Eukaryota; Metazoa; Chordata; Actinopteri; Pomacentridae.
UUCUGCCCCACCUACUAACCAGACACUCUUGUUCUGCUGUUUGUUAGACACUGAGUUUAGAUACUCUGCUGUAUUUCGGUUUGCUGUUCUGUUAGAUUAUCUGGGAUUAUGUAUCUUCACUCCUCAGAUCUGGAAAUGUGUUGUAAACCAAUCUAGCUAAUAUCAGAUCUAGCAAUCUGUUCCUGAGGCUUUCUGGGAAACUGAGCCUCAACUGCUCCUGGAGGAAGCACAACUCAUACUAAUAAAGAACGCACUGGACUUGUCUAAAUAUAUAUAACUUUUGGUCUUUCAUCUUUCAAUUGUUUUCACCUGUUUUUAACAUCAUUUUAACACCUCUCUCUGAAACUGCUCUGUUGAAAAACCUGGAUUUUAAUGUACAUACUGCUCAGAUUCUUUGUAUGAUAAUUGCUAAGAGAUGCAUCAUAAAACUGUGGAAAUCUGAUGUUGCCCCCAAGCUUGAGACUUGGCCUCCUUUUUUAUUUAUUUAUCUGGUUAUUUUAUUUUAUUUUUUCGUUUUCUCUUAUUUCACACGUGUUUGUCAUUGUUACAAAUUUGUCUUUUUUUUGUUUUCUGAUCACUGUUCAUGUCUUUGUUAUCGUCUUAUAAUUUAAAUCUUAAACAAAAUGUUAAAAAAAGAACGCACUGUACUGUGGUUACUUAUUUCGAUCAAACACUUUAUAAUCAGAUUCUUCACAUUGCACCUUUUAACCUACUUGAAAGUGGAGACCAGUGAUCUUCACGUGUUCAUGGUUUGAGAAACUGAUUCCUGUGGACAACAAUGUUCUAGUGAACUCUUAAAGAUUUGUCUCACACAACACAAGUGCAUCCAUCCAUAAAACCGAAAGUUGUUCUUUUAGAUUUUACAUUUAAUCAAACUGGAGCAGACGCUUUGAUUGUGGAAUCAUGUUUUCACUGUCUCAGGAAGAUUUUUUUCAACUUGGAAAGACACUGAAGCUAUUUUACUUGUUUUUAUUUCUUCUUUAUUGCUGUAACAGUAUUUUUACCUUCCUGACAUUUUAGAAAGAAUUCAGCUGCUAGAUGUUUAACAAGAACCAAGAAGCCUCGUUACAGUGGCUCCCAGUAUGUUCAGGGAAAGAUUUGUAGAUUUAUUGGUCACUUUUAAGGCACCUAAUGACCUCUUUCCUCAUUAUAUUUCUAACCUUUAAAUAUCUUCUGUCUCUACUUUUACUAGCAUCCUUUACUUAAUAUUUUUGAGGUUUUAUUUUCCUUCAGUUUUCUGUUAUUUGGUUCAAUAAUGAUUUCAUAUCUUGUUUUGUAAACACCACAAUGUGCUUUUAUCCGUCUUUUAAUUUGUAAUGAUUUUAUGAUUUUUCUGUUUUAUUUUGCUCCCUUCUGAAGCACUUUGUAACCUGGAUUUGAAAAGUUCCCCAUAAGUGCUUGUUGCUGUAUAAAUAUAAAGCUGAAUGGAAAUUGAAGUAGCACACCCUCACUGAACAAGUAAGACUGAUGUUUAGAAUCACACUUCAUUUUAUAUACAAAUGGACCCUGUUACUUUGACGAAUAUAGUUUUUGUGGACACACAGAAACCCUUCAGAUGUCUGCAGUCAGAUGAAAUGUUUCUGCAUGUGGAGCUAAUUGUUGUUGUCUGUGCUCUUUUCUAGACAGAGACUCGCUACUCUUUGGUGAGCAUCGUGAGCCAUUUGGGUUCCACAGUUCACAGAGGCGACACGUCAGACCGUUGGCUCACCUACAAUGUUGAGCACGUCACCAUGACAACGGGUGAAUCUGUGUGUCGCCUGCGCCAAAGAGAAGCGUACCUUCUGUUUUAUGAAAAGCAGUGAGGGAACGUGGAGACCAGCCCUCCGAAAAAGAAGAGGCCAACCGCUAGAGGAGACAGUAGGCGGUGGUGGUAGUGUCUGUCAACAAAGACAUUCAGUCAUAGCAACAUGUUUAACAUAAUUCAAUUAUUAGAAUUAGAAUUGAAUUAUGUUAAACAACCCACACAUAUUAAGUUAGGGGAACUGAGAAAUAAUGAAAAUUUAAUCUAAAAUAUUUUCUGUAAUAAUCCAAAAAUUAUUCUGAAAAUGUUUAUGGAAUAAUCUAAAUAUUUGUCAAUUUUUUUAUUUAAUAAUCCAAAAAAAAAUCAUCCAAUUUUUUUUAUAUAAAAUCUAAAUAUUUGUCUAAAAGUUUUUAUAUAA